UACGGGGGGAGCAAGCGUUGUUCGGAUUUACUGGGCGUAAAGGGCGCGUAGGCGGUCAGCACAAGUCAGUUGUGAAAUCUCCGGGCUUAACUGGGAGGGUGCGGCGGAAACUGGAGUGCUUGAGCGCGGGAGAGGAAAGCGGAAUUCCUGGUGUAGCGGUGAAAUGCGUAGAUAUGACAUAGAACACCGAUAGCGAAGGCAGCUUGCUACACAAUUAUUGACACUGAGGCUCGAAAGCGUGGGGAUCAAACAGG
RNAcentral lists this ribosomal RNA (254 nucleotides) under uncultured bacterium. RNAcentral describes it as "partial 16S ribosomal RNA". It matches the Rfam family "Bacterial small subunit ribosomal RNA", at positions 524 to 776 of the family's 1533-position model. The record is from RNAcentral.